Molecule: ribosomal RNA, 526 nt
Filed under: uncultured bacterium
Lineage: Bacteria
Description: bacterial SSU rRNA
Rfam family: Bacterial small subunit ribosomal RNA
Source: RNAcentral
ACAUCCAGAGAAUUUAGCAGAGAUGCUUUAGUGCCUUCGGGAACUCUGAGACAGGUGCUGCAUGGCUGUCGUCAGCUCGUGUUGUGAAAUGUUGGUUAAGUCCCGCAACGAGCGCAACCCUUUAUCCUUUGUUGCCAGCACGUAAUGGUGGGAACUCAAAGGAGACUGCCGGUGAUAAACCGGAGGAAGGUGGGGAUGACGUCAAGUCAUCAUGGCCCUUACGAGUAGGGCUACACACGUGCUACAAUGGCGCAUACAAAGAGAAGCGACCUCGCGAGAGCAAGCGGACCUCAUAAAGUGCGUCGUAGUCCGGAUUGGAGUCUGCAACUCGACUCCAUGAAGUCGGAAUCGCUAGUAAUCGUAAAUCAGAAUGUUACGGUGAAUACGUUCCCGGGCCUUGUACACACCGCCCGUCACACCAUGGGAGUGGGUUGCAAAAGAAGUAGAUAGCUUAACCUUCGGGAGGGCGUUUACCACUUUGUGAUUCAUGACUGGGGUGAAGUCGUAACAAGGUAGGCGUAGUGCU